Molecule: small nuclear RNA, 115 nt
Organism: Phasianus colchicus (ring-necked pheasant)
Lineage: Eukaryota; Metazoa; Chordata; Aves; Galliformes; Phasianidae
Gene: U5
Rfam family: U5 spliceosomal RNA
About the family: U5 RNA is a component of both types of known spliceosome. The precise function of this molecule is unknown, though it is known that the 5' loop is required for splice site selection and p220 binding, and that both the 3' stem-loop and the Sm site are important for Sm protein binding and cap methylation.
Source: Ensembl
AUACUCUGGUUUCUCUUCAGAUCGUAUAAAUCUUUCGCCUUUUACUAAAGAUUUCCGUGGAGAGGAACAAGCACGAGUGUCGUGGAAUUUUUUGAGGCUCCGCUUUGGCGGAGCU